AUAAUGGGUCAGCGACUUAUAUUCUGUAGCAAGGUUAACCGAAUAGGGGAGCCGAAGGGAAACCGAGUCUUAACUGGGCGUUAAGUUGCAGGGUAUAGACCCGAAACCCGGUGAUCUAGCCAUGGGCAGGUUGAAGGUUGGGUAACACUAACUGGAGGACCGAACCGACUAAUGUUGAAAAAUUAGCGGAUGACUUGUGGCUGGGGGUGAAAGGCCAAUCAAACCGGGAGAUAGCUGGUUCUCCCCGAAAGCUAUUUAGGUAGCGCCUCGUGAAUUCAUCUCCGGGGGUAGAGCACUGUUUCGGCAAGGGGGUCAUCCCGACUUACCAACCCGAUGCAAACUGCGAAUACCGGAGAAUGUUAUCACGGGAGACACACGGCGGGUGCUAACGUCCGUCGUGAAGAGGGAAACAACCCAGACCGCCAGCUAAGGUCCCAAAGUCAUGGUUAAGUGGGAAACGAUGUGGGAAGGCCCAGACAGCCAGGAUGUUGGCUUAGAAGCAGCCAUCAUUUAAAGAAAGCGUAAUAGCUCACUGGUCGAGUCGGCCUGCGCGGAAGAUGUAACGGGGCUAAACCAUGCACCGAAGCUGCGGCAGCGACGCUUAUGCGUUGUUGGGUAGGGGAGCGUUCUGUAAGCCUGUGAAGGUGUGCUGUGAGGCAUGCUGGAGGUAUCAGAAGUGCGAAUGCUGACAUAAGUAACGAUAAAGCGGGUGAAAAGCCCGCUCGCCGGAAGACCAAGGGUUCCUGUCCAACGUUAAUCGGGGCAGGGUGAGUCGACCCCUAAGGCGAGGCCGAAAGGCGUAGUCGAUGGGAAACAGGUUAAUAUUCCUGUACUUGGUGUUACUGCGAAGGGGGGACGGAGAAGGCUAUGUUGGCC
Molecule: ribosomal RNA, 876 nt
Filed under: Escherichia coli
Lineage: Bacteria; Pseudomonadati; Pseudomonadota; Gammaproteobacteria; Enterobacterales; Enterobacteriaceae
Description: partial 23S ribosomal RNA
Rfam family: Bacterial large subunit ribosomal RNA
Source: RNAcentral